RNAcentral lists this long non-coding RNA (213 nucleotides) under Elaeis guineensis (African oil palm). Its description in RNAcentral is "long non-coding RNA (EGUI_LNC035508)". Lineage: Eukaryota; Viridiplantae; Streptophyta; Magnoliopsida; Arecales; Arecaceae. The record is from RNAcentral.
CCGAUCUUUAGAAAAUCGGGCCUUCGACUUUGCUCAUGUUAGGACGAGGUUCUCCUCCUGUUCCUAACAUGCUUAAUUUUGUUUGUAUGGGGGAGUUAUCUCCCAUCGUUAUAAGCUCAUACCAAAAGAAAGAAUGCACAAAUAUGAAGAGAAUUUUUAUUCAGGGCAAAGUUGUUGGUAAUAUAUUCGUAGAUUUUUCAAACCCUAUAACCG